AGAGAUGAAGUAUCCCGUACAUUUUAGUUACAUUAAAAAGGACUCAAACUAGAGCGUCUCUA
This 62-nucleotide transfer RNA is filed under the name Salinator rhamphidia. Its description in RNAcentral is "tRNA-Val". Lineage: Eukaryota; Metazoa; Mollusca; Gastropoda; Amphibolidae. The record is from RNAcentral.